RNAcentral lists this ribosomal RNA (662 nucleotides) under Candidatus Woesebacteria bacterium GW2011_GWC1_43_10b. RNAcentral's name for it is "partial 16S ribosomal RNA". It matches the Rfam family "Bacterial small subunit ribosomal RNA", at positions 1 to 940 of the family's 1533-position model. The record is from RNAcentral. Lineage: Bacteria; Candidatus Woeseibacteriota.
UUUGAGGAUUUGAUCCUGGUCCAGGACGAACGCUAGCGACGUGCUUUAAGCAUGCAAGUAGAGCGAGCCCGCAAGGGCAAGCUGCGAACGGCUGAGUAGAAUUUGUGAUUUGUUACAAGUGAUUUUCUCGCGCAGAGUGCGAGAAAAGGAUGUAACUGUCCGCCGAAGAAGGGGCCUGCGGCCUAUCAGCUUGUUGGUGGGGUAACGGCCUACCAAGGCUACGACGGGUAGGGGGCGUGAGAGCGUGUUCCCCCAGAAUGGGACUGAGACACGGGAUGACGGCCUUCGGGUUGUAAACCACUUUUGCCAAAGAGUGAUUACUUUGGAGAAUAAGCACCGGCUAACUACGUGCCAGCAGCAGCGGUAAUACGUAGGGUGCAAGCGUUGUCCGAAUUUAUUGGGCGUAAAGAGUUCGUAGGCGUUUCCUUACAUCUUGUUUCAAAUACCGGAGCUCAACUUCGGGAAGGGGCAAGAGAUGGAGGAAAUUGGAGAGUGCUUGUUUAGGAUUUCGAAUUUGGGAUUUAGAGUUUCCACGCAAAAACGACACAUUUUUUGCGUGGUGAGUCCCGUAAGCUAACGCGUUAAGCGAGCCGCCUGGGGAGUACGAGCGCAAGCUUAAAACUCAAAGGAAUUGACGGGGACCCGCACAACCAGUGGAGCAU